UACGAGUGCCCCGAGCGUUAUCCGGAAUCAUUGGGCGUAAAGGGUGUGUAGGUGGUUUUGUUAGUCUCCUGUCAAAUUCUUCGGCUUAACCGGGGGUCCGCAGGGGAAACGGCAAAACUAGAGGAUGCGAGGGGUGAAUGGAACUCAUAGUGGAGGGGUGAAAUGCGUAGAGAUCCGGAGGAACACCAGUGGCGAAGGCGACACGCUGGGCCGUACCUGACACUGAUGCGCGACAGCAUGGGGAGCAAACAGG
RNAcentral lists this ribosomal RNA (253 nucleotides) under uncultured bacterium. RNAcentral describes it as "partial 16S ribosomal RNA". It matches the Rfam family "Bacterial small subunit ribosomal RNA", at positions 524 to 776 of the family's 1533-position model. The record is from RNAcentral.